UCUCAGUCUUCCUGUCAAUCGUUAUCUCAUUUUCACCCCUGUCCUCGUUCUCCAAAGCCACUCCAUUUUGUCUUAGUGUGUCAUUGCAGUCUUCUUCCUUUUCUUAUUUUAAUUGCAUUGUUUAACUUUUUAGAGUCUUAUAUUUUUGCUUGUUUUCAGUUUGUCAUUUCCAUUUUUGCUUCACUUUCACUUCAUGAAUGAAAUAUGCCCACCUGGGAAUCUUUGUGAAAGUCUCAAUUUAUUUAUUUAUUUAUUAUUUAUUUCGCAUGGGAUAUUUUUUAUUUGAAAGUGUGUUAUUUUUGCCAUCACAGACAUGCACAUCAAUUCAAACAUGCUUUUCUUUGAUUAGGUUUUCAUACGCUGGUGGUGGAGAUCUUGAUUUUCCUCGAUGUUUUUAUUUAUUAAUGCACUGCUCUCCAUCAUCCUCUAAAUUCUCUCCCCUCUCUUGUGCUGUUUUUUUUUCUCUCUUUAUCUUCCCUUCCCUUACUUUAACUCCCCCCUACACUCCCUCCCUCUCUGAUCACUUCACGUUUCAGAUAGUGGCCGUGUUGAUGGCUGCUGAAAACAUCGACCGGCUUUGAAGUCUGAUGUUUGCUGCUUGUGUGAGUUUGUCUCGCUCAGCCUGGGGUUUGAAGGACAAUGGACCACACAGCUUCCAAACUACUACUCAGGAAUUACUCGAGGAACAUGACCAAGAGCUCAAAACACUGAACCCAGCCCUCAAUGCCCCCAAAUCCAACAUAAUAUUAGGGAAACGGUUUAAAUGUAGUGGCUGAUCCAUGUUUAGGUACAAGAUAUAUGUGUAUUUUAGGGGGCUCAGCCGGUGAUUGACAUUUGCUAGAUUAUCUUUGCUUUGGCAUACAUCUGUUUAAUGAACUCUCCAGAGUGGAAGAUCAUCGGGAUUAAACACGAGUGAUCAGAGGUAGAAAAACACUCGAGCCUGUCCAAUCUUGUCAGAUCUACGAGGCUGUCAGGGGUGUGGAUUACAUCAUUACCAUGUCGAUACAGAAACGAUGAAAGAAGAAGUUAAAGUGCUUAUUCCAAUCCAAUCACGCCAAACCCCAAGAUCUAUGGGCUGUCACGACUGCGGACUGUUCCACAACAGCUACUAGAUGGAGGUGGAGGGAGGCGGAGAUGGAGUGAGACACGGUGCCAAUCCAAUCUUGUCACAUCUACAAGCUGUCAAGUGCUGGUUACGCUCUAUGACAACCGUAUCAACCGCAUCAGUAUUACGGAGGUGAGGCGAGAAAGAGGAUUAUAUGAUAAGUGUGUCGAUAAUGGAGGCAAAGAGACAAAAACAAGAGGCUUAUUUGCCUUCUGCAUACACGUUGUACUAGCUGUACCUACAUCGACGAAAGAGAAACAUCUAAAACAUGACACAGCUUUGAGAAAACAAAGAGCUUAAAUUCACAAGGGACGCAUAGGAAAUGUCUGAACCUUGCAUACACUUUAAAAUUUCAGCAUUUAAACUUGUUUUGUUUUUUUUUGUUUUCACUGAACGCUUUGAUGUGUUUAAUCUACUCGCAACAACCGCCGUGUUCGUUAUCCCAUUUUUAGCUCUUGGAACUUUGAAGAACCUCUUUUUUCAUAUUUAGCCACAUUAAAACAGAACAGAUGCUUCCACCUCUUCUUUUAAAAGGAGUUUUAUCUACAGCUUACAGAGUUCCGUUCAGACUAAAUUGUUGCUACAGCUGAUUCACCGCAUGUAAAGACUCUUCACAGUUACUACUGAUGUAAUAGAUGCUCUCUCUUUUUAUACAUACAAUGCAGUCAUGCAAGAUUUAUUUCUGCUAGUGUCCUUUCUUUCUUUAGUAUUUUUAUCAUGUUUAGACCUCUGGCAACCGAUCGAUUGAUUUAUUUAUCCGAGUGGCUGGCUGGAUUUGUUGUAUGUUGCAUCAGGUUCAACUAAAAAAAAUCUCUCAGCUUUGCUCGCUUUGAUCUAACAGGCUGCUGCUGAUAAAAUUCACAUUUGGCAGCAAAGUCAUGCAUAUUCAAAGGUUGUUAGUUGUAAAUUUACCCUUACAGAUGUAGUUCAUGUGCAUGAUGUAAUCAGAUAUGCUCGCAUUUGUUAGGAAAUUCCAAGGAAUACAUCUUGUGCGUGCGUUUAAGUAAUGUUCUUUGCAGCAUUUAUGUCAUAAUAUACAGUAUUUUACUUAAUGUUCAAAAAUCUAGCAUUGAAAUGUCAUUAUUUGACAUUGUUUUUAAAGGAUGUUUUAAUAUUAUCUUUUUGUUGUCUUGAGGAGCUGUCACUUUGCAUUUCACUGAACAGACUGUUUGACCAUGUGCCAAAUAAAAACUCUUGAAUCUUGAAAUUUAAUGAGACCUCGCUGUCCAGUAGAGGACGUGAUUUUGUGCUGUGUAUAAAGAGUGGAGAAAAAAAUGUAAAAAAAAAAAAAAAUCUCCACAAAGCUA
Acanthochromis polyacanthus (spiny chromis) is the source of this 2412-nucleotide long non-coding RNA. RefSeq lists it as uncharacterized. The record is from RefSeq and is a predicted model, not a curated record. Lineage: Eukaryota; Metazoa; Chordata; Actinopteri; Pomacentridae. The transcript is spliced from 2 exons.